CACGGAGUUAGCCGAUGCUUUUUCUCCGGGUACCCUCAGGACGGCACGCGUGCCGCCGUUUGUCCCCCGGCAAAAGAGGUUUACAACCCGUAGGGCCGUCCUCCCUCACGCGACUUGGCUGGUUCAGGCUCUCGCCCAUUGACCAAUAUUCCUCACUGCUGCCUCCCGUAGGAGUCUGGUCCGUGUCUCAGUACCAGUGUGGGGGACCUUCCUCUCAGAACCCCUAGGCAUCGUCGCCUUGGUGGGCCGUUACCCCGCCAACAAGCUAAUGCCACGCAUGCCCAUCCGGACCCGAUGGUUCUUUAGCCGCCAAGGGAUGCCCCUCGGCGGCGCCGUGCGGUAUUAGGCCGGGUUUCCCCGGGUUAUCCCGCUGGUCCGGGCAGGUUGCAUACGCGUUACUCACCCGUGCGCCGGUCGCCGGCAGGCGGAAGCAAGCUUCCUCCCCCGCUGCCCCUGACUUGCAUGUGUUAGGCCUGUCGCUAGCGUUCAUCCUGAGCCAGGAUCAAAACUCU
RNAcentral lists this ribosomal RNA (512 nucleotides) under uncultured Bacteroidota bacterium. RNAcentral describes it as "uncultured Bacteroidetes bacterium partial 16S ribosomal RNA". Lineage: Bacteria; Pseudomonadati; Bacteroidota. The record is from RNAcentral.